Non-coding RNA from Odocoileus virginianus texanus, 585 nucleotides. The record is from RefSeq and is a predicted model, not a curated record. NCBI's taxonomy places the organism in Eukaryota, Metazoa, Chordata, Mammalia, Artiodactyla, Cervidae.
GGUUUGCCCAGGAAAGAAUGGUACUGGGCAUAAGAAACGAUAGGUAUCCAUAACAGAGUCAGAUCAAUGUAUGUUUGGAAAUCUCCUUAACUCCUUAGGACUUUAUUUUUGUUGUUGCUGUUCUCUAGAGUGAAGCAGAUAAGCUUUGCUCUUCGGGAGGGUAGUGAUGUUGGCUAACACUCAUUGAGCAUUUACUCUGGGCUUAUACUAGGUACUUAUGUGGUCUCACUGAGGAAACCAACGCUUGGAGAAGUUAGGUAGAUUGCCCAGAGUUACAUGAUGAAGCAGGUACAGGGCCUGGAUGGGAACCCAGGUCUGUCUAACUGGAGGACGUUGGCAGACCGCUAUACCAGGAGACUCCCCUGCCUCCCACUCAAGAGGAGAUAAGUUAUCAAAUAGGCUGAGCAGAGAGCCUGAUAUACUUACAAACUUCAAAAGAAACAAACUUGAAAAUGGUGAACGCUGGACCCAGAGGCCUUUCCCGGAGUGGAACCCCGUGGUCGGAUAAUAGCUGGAGCAAUCCUUGAACAACUUGGUUGCCAUCCAAGUCUGUUUUCAGUCGAGAAUAAAGUUCAUGUUUUGGAG